This 253-nucleotide ribosomal RNA is filed under the name uncultured bacterium. RNAcentral describes it as "partial 16S ribosomal RNA". It matches the Rfam family "Bacterial small subunit ribosomal RNA", at positions 524 to 776 of the family's 1533-position model. The record is from RNAcentral.
UACGAAGGGGGCGAGCGUUGUUCGGAAUUACUGGGCGUAAAGGGCGCGCAGGCGGCCUUAGAAGUCAGAUGUGAAAGCCCCGGGCUUAACCCGGGAAUGGCAUUGGAAACUGCUGAUCUGGAGGAUCGGAGGGGGGACUGGAAUUCUUGGUGUAGCAGUGAAAUGCGUAGAUAUCAAGAGGAACACCAGUGGCGAAGGCGAGUCCCUGGACGAUACCUGACACUGAGGCACGAAAGCCAAGGGAGCAAACAGG